Acanthosepion pharaonis is the source of this 99-nucleotide non-coding RNA. The record is from the annotation of a GenBank genome assembly. Lineage: Eukaryota; Metazoa; Mollusca; Cephalopoda; Sepiida; Sepiidae.
GUUAAAAUACUUGUGCUCGUACGACCACCGAAGCUAAGCAAUUACAAGCCUGGUCAGUAUCUAGAUGGGUGACCGCUUGGGAAUACCAGGUGCUGUAAG